GACGAACGCUGGCGGCGUGCUUAACACAUGCAAGUCGAACGGUGAAGGGACCGGUUUUUGCUGGUUCUGGUUGCGUGGCGAACGGGUGAGUAACACGUGAGUAACCUGCCCCCUUCUUCUGGAUAACCGCAUGAAAGUGUGGCUAAUACGGGAUAUUCUGCGCCUGCUGCAUGGUGGGUUUUGGAAAGAUUUUGUUUCGGUUGGGGAUGGGCUCGCGGCCUAUCAGCUUGUUGGUGGGGUGAUGGCCUACCAAGGCGGUGACGGGUAGCCGGCCUGAGAGGGUGGACGGUCACACAGGGACUGAGACACGGGCCAGACUCGUACGGGAGGCAGAAGGGGGGAAUAGUGAACAAUGGGCGCAAGCCUGAGGCAGCGACGCCGAGUGAGGGAUGGAGGCCUUCGGGUAGUAAACCUCUUUCGCCAGGGAAGCAGGCCUGUCCCUUUUGUGGGGGGGUUGACGGUAGCUGGAUAAGAAGCACCGGCUAACUACGU
Molecule: ribosomal RNA, 492 nt
Filed under: uncultured bacterium
Lineage: Bacteria
Description: partial 16S ribosomal RNA
Rfam family: Bacterial small subunit ribosomal RNA
Source: RNAcentral